RNAcentral lists this transfer RNA (85 nucleotides) under Felis catus (domestic cat). It matches the Rfam family "tRNA". Rfam says of the family: Transfer RNA (tRNA) molecules are approximately 80 nucleotides in length. The record is from Rfam by way of RNAcentral. Lineage: Eukaryota; Metazoa; Chordata; Mammalia; Carnivora; Felidae.
GCCUGGUUGGCUCAGUCAGUUGAGCGUCUGACUUCGGCUCAGGUCAUGAUGCUGCAGUCUGUGAGUUUGAGUCCCACUUCGGGCU